Molecule: ribosomal RNA, 253 nt
Filed under: uncultured bacterium
Lineage: Bacteria
Description: partial 16S ribosomal RNA
Rfam family: Bacterial small subunit ribosomal RNA
Source: RNAcentral
UACGUAGGGUCCAAGCGUUAUCCGGAAUCACUGGGCGUAAAGCGUGCGUAGGUGGCGUGUUAAGUGUGAUGUUAAAUCGUGUGGCUCAACCAUAUCGAUGUGUCGCAUACUGGCAUGCUAGAGGACAGCAGAGGCGAGUGGAAUUCCCGGUGUAGCGGUGAAAUGCGCAGAUAUCGGGAGGAACACCAAUGGCGAAGGCAGCUCGCUGGGACGGUACUGACGCUGAGGCGCGAAAGCGUGGGGAGCAAACAGG